UUGAACGCUGGCGGAAUGCUUUACACAUGCAAGUCGAACGGCAGCACGGACUUCGGUCUGGUGGCGAGUGGCGAACGGGUGAGUAAUAUAUCGGAACGUAUCCAAUAAUGGGGGAUAACUAAUCGAAAGGUUGGCUAAUACCGCAUACGCCCUGAGGGGGAAAGCUAGGGAUCUUCGGACCCGGCGUUAAUGGAGCGGCCGAUAUCUGAUUAGCUAGUUGGUGAGGUAAGAGCUCACCAAGGCGACGAUCAGUAGCUGGUCUGAGAGGACGACCAGCCACACUGGAACUGAGACACGGUCCAGACUCCUACGGGAGGCAGCAGUGGGGAAUUUUGGACAAUGGGCGCAAGCCUGAUCCAGCCAUUCCGCGUGAGUGAAGAAGGCCUUCGGGUUGUAAAGCUCUUUCGCAAGGGAAGAACACUUAGCCACUAACAUUGGCUGAGGUUGACGGUACCUUGAUAAGAAGCACCGGCUAACUACGUGCCAGCAGCCGCGGUAAUACGUAGGGUGCGAGCGUUAAUCGGAAUUACUGGGCGUAAAGCGUGCGCAGGCGGUUUUGUAAGUCAGAUGUGAAAUCCCCGAGCUCAACUUGGGAACUGCGUUUGAAACUACAAGACUGGAAUAGGUCAGAGGGGGGUAGAAUUCCACGUGUAGCAGUGAAAUGCGUAGAGAUGUGGAGGAAUACCAAUGGCGAAGGCAGCCCCCUGGGAUCAUAUUGACGCUCAUGCACGAAAGCGUGGGGAGCAAACAGGAUUAGAUACCCUGGUAGUCCACGCCCUAAACGAUGUCUACUAGUUGUUGGUGGAGUAAA
RNAcentral lists this ribosomal RNA (811 nucleotides) under uncultured bacterium. Its description in RNAcentral is "bacterial SSU rRNA". It matches the Rfam family "Bacterial small subunit ribosomal RNA", at positions 29 to 835 of the family's 1533-position model. The record is from RNAcentral.